CUUGCCCCUACAGGCAUUGCAGACAUGGCUGCUGGGCUGUGUUUGUGUCAAUAGGUGGCAGAGAGAAACGGGCUACGUCUACGUUCCAUGUUCUGUGGCCGUGAGCACUUGGAAUGAUUAGUAGCUUGACAUC
Small nucleolar RNA from Sceloporus undulatus (fence lizard), 133 nucleotides. RefSeq annotates it as small nucleolar RNA SNORA17. The transcript has a single exon. The record is from RefSeq and is a predicted model, not a curated record. Lineage: Eukaryota; Metazoa; Chordata; Lepidosauria; Squamata; Phrynosomatidae.